RNAcentral lists this long non-coding RNA (250 nucleotides) under Solanum tuberosum (potato). RNAcentral's name for it is "long non-coding RNA (STUB_LNC008002)". The record is from RNAcentral. Lineage: Eukaryota; Viridiplantae; Streptophyta; Magnoliopsida; Solanales; Solanaceae.
UUGGGUAAGAGUUUCUCGUGGCACCAAGGCAACAACCUUCUCGGGUGUCAGAUUCACAAACACUUUCUUCUUUCUGAUGCUCAGCGAAGCUACAGCCCUUUCCAGUUCCUCAGGAGCAAUCGGAACUAUUGCCUUCGUCACGCACCAGUCAUCAUCUGUCUCUAUCAUAUUGAUAGUGGUGCCUCCAUGAUCUGGCAAAGGAUUACUAUUGACAUUGGGCACGACUGUCUGAAGAGAGACCACAUUCUGG